Long non-coding RNA from Cottoperca gobio, 1021 nucleotides. Lineage: Eukaryota; Metazoa; Chordata; Actinopteri; Perciformes; Bovichtidae. The record is from Ensembl.
CGAAAGGGGAAAAAGGAGCGGAUGGUGAUAGAGGACUUCCAGGAAUCCCAGGUAAAUCCUAGUUUGCAAAUUAAACAUACUGUACCAUUACACAUAUUCACUGCAGGACUGUGCUGAAGGGAAUUAUAAUUACCUAAUUACUAUUUUUUUUUUUCAGGAACAGCCUCUAAUUUUGACAUUUACACAUUCAAGGUAAACUUAUCGAUACACCACCUGUCAGUUUCAUUAGCAUGCUGGAUGUAUUGUACUUAAUAAUGUUAAACUGUUUCCAACAGAAUGAACUGAAGGGAGAGCGUGGCGACCUCGGUGUGAAGGGAGAAAAGGGAGAGUCUGGUGGUGGAUAUUAUGACCCACGUUUCGGAGGAGUACAAGGCCAAACAGGGCCUCCCGGCAAACCGGGCCUUGAGGGUCCAAAGGGAGAAUCCGUAUUGGGACCUCCUGGACCCCAGGGGCCACCAGGGACACCAGGGAUUGGUUACGAUGGGCGUCCAGGUGCUCCAGGACCACCUGGACCUCCAGGACCCCAAGGAUCUCCUUCACUUCCCGCAGCAUAUAGGCCCAAUAACCGUGAGCUGCUUUGUCUAUUUUUAAAUAUUCUGGAUAUUUCUAAAUAUGCACUCCUACAACUAGUGUGGAGGGGACCUCAAGCUAUUGUUUCUACUUGUUGGCUACAAACUGUACUUGAGCGAUUUAUUAGCCAAUUCAUAAACAAGAUUUUGUUUUCUUUUGAAGCUGUCAGUGUUCCUGGACCUCCUGGUCCUCCUGGUCCUCCUGGAAGUGCUGCUAUCUCCUCUGGGGUUACUAUUUUGAGGUCAUAUGACACAAUGGUAGCUACUGCCAGACGCCAGUCAGAGGGCAGCCUCAUCUACAUCAUUGACAAAGCAGACCUCUAUUUGAGAGUACGCGAUGGACUGCGGCAAGUCAUGGUACAGUCAUCUACUUUUCACCCAAGGAAUAUGUAGUGUAUAGUUGACUUGCAUUUUUGUUCAUUCAAAUUGAAUAUAGUUUUGUUUUAUAUGUU